GCGCACCAGUCGAGAAAACUUCACAAUGUGCGAAAGCACGAUGAGGGAAUCCCAAGUGCUUGCACGUAAGUGUAAGCUGUUUCUCUGUCUAAAACGCAGAGAGAGUAAGGGCUGGGUAAGACGGGUGCCAGCCGCCGCGGUAAUACCUGCAGCUCGAGUGGUGACCGUUAUUAUUGGGCCUAAAACGUCCGUAGCCGGUUUAAUAAAUGCCUGGGUAAAUCGGACCGCUUAACGGUUCGAAUUCCGGGUAGACUGUUAAACUUGAGACCGGGAGAAGUUAGAGGUACUCCUGGGGUAGAGGUGAAAUUCUGUAAUCCUAGGGGGACCACCAGUGGCGAAGGCGUCUAACUAGAACGGGUCUGACGGUGAGGGGACGAAGCCCUGGGGCGCAAACGGGAUUAGAUACCCCCGUAGUCCCUGUGCCAAGGCACACA
Molecule: ribosomal RNA, 434 nt
Filed under: uncultured microorganism
Description: bacterial SSU rRNA
Rfam family: Archaeal small subunit ribosomal RNA
Source: RNAcentral